Long non-coding RNA from Neopsephotus bourkii (Bourke's parrot), 1843 nucleotides. RefSeq lists it as uncharacterized. The transcript is spliced from 2 exons. The record is from RefSeq and is a predicted model, not a curated record. Lineage: Eukaryota; Metazoa; Chordata; Aves; Psittaciformes; Psittacidae.
AGAGUUCAGUGAAACAUAGAAAAGCAUAUUUUCAGACUUUAAAAACAGCCUAGAAGAGUCUGCAUAAAUCUUAACAUCGAUGAGGAGAGACCUUACAAAUGUGGAAAGAAAUUAUAUGACAGACUAAUAGGAAAGCAAGCUGGAAGACAAUGGAGACCAAAAUUCCUGGCAGGAAUUGAGACAUCUCCUCAGGUCUUUGGUAUUUUACAGAUGCAUCCCUUCACUGGAAAUAACUUGACAGAAUUCUGCCCCAUCAUUUUGGGAAUUAUCACAUUAAAACCAGGAAACAAGGGGGCAAGAGUGACUCCAACAACAGGCAUGGAUUUUGGACUCUGCUGACAUACCUUUUGCAGCUGCAUGAUGGGGUUCAGCACUUAAGAGAGUCUUACUGCUAGUUCUUGGAUUUUAUUUUGUGCUUGCAUUGGUUUGUUGAUUACUUGUUCAAAAAACAAUGGUGGUGGUAAUGGCUCUAUUCAUGUCACCUUUCUCUGAAAGUUUCUGAGAAGCAACAGAAGCCAGUCUAUUUUUCCCUUGUUUACUGUAUCUCAUCAAUUUCCCAGUCCUAUAAUGAUAUGCUUGGCAAAGUUCUCACAGGUUUUGCAAUAGCUUAAUUUACUGUGGGUUUAAGUACACAAAACUAAACAAUUUGGCAAGUACAGUAUGCUGACAGAUUUCGAUAUGUUCAGAUAUAAGAGCAUGUCUAUUAAUUACACAUUUCUGCAGACCAGAGGAUGAAUUGCAUUCUUCUAUAACCAGGUUUAGUGAUACCUUUUAGAUACACUGCUUGCAAUAUAGAAGGAAGCACUCGCUCCUUUCUGGAGUCAUGUAUUUAUGCUCUGAUUUAAUUGUAAUAAUUGGUCAGGGAGCAUCAUCCUCAGCCUUCAGGGCUGCACUUCUGUCUGCAAAUGUAGAUGCAUGAAUGUGGAUAUUCUCCAGAAGACGUGCUAGCACAAUAAGACCAGAAAAACCCCCACCUAUCAUUCUGAAAAUUAAUAUUAUCUUAAUAAGCAGAAUGUAGGCUGUCCAGAACAACCACCAGUUAGCUCAUGCUAGACUAUAUAGUAACAAUAUGAUUUUAAAGCAGUCUCUCCAUGCACAAAGUGCAUGUACAUGCUACACAUUAGUAGUAACUCACUCCACAUAACAAAAAUGUGGAGAACUUAAAUUUUGAGGUUUUGUUUGCAUCAUUUAUGUGCCUUUAGAGCCACUUAACAGUUAAAAUCUGGUUCCUGAAAGUUGCUAGAGGUACAGCUAUGUGAUCUAUGAAGCAUAAAAUGAAAGAAAAAAUAAUGUAAAAUUAAACAUGAAAUUAAAUUGAUCUCCUUGUUGACGUGAAGCCAGCCAAAAAGGUCUGUUAUGUUUUAGACAACAGUACUUGUGUUAACUGGAGAAUAGAGUCAUGGGACUGUACCUGAACCUUUCCCUGGAAAAACCUUACGUAGUAGCAUUAUUCCUUAAAAAAAGGUGUUAAGGCUUACAGUCAGCUUUGGAGACACAUUGAAUAACAGUAGAAUAGCUAAAAGCAAACCAAACCCUUUGCUGGUUUCACCUGAUAGGUCUCACUCAGCUUCCAGAGUCCCAGUAUGGCUGUACAGUAGAGCUCUAAUAGUUCACACAUUGGGCAGCUCUGCAGCCCAGCAGUCCUGGGCACAGCUCAGGUGAACACAGCUCUCCAGCACAGCACCUUAAAUGAAAGGCACAUUUAUACUAAAUAUACUACUUCGGGAUGUGACUGGGUUACGAUGAUGAUACUUGAAGGUUAUGACAGGUAAUGACGAGGUAAUGAUAAUACUUGAAACAGAUCAAGAGCAUUAAAAAAAAAGAAAAGAAAACCAAAAAAAAC